This 66-nucleotide transfer RNA is filed under the name Nasutitermes gracilirostris. Its description in RNAcentral is "tRNA-His". Lineage: Eukaryota; Metazoa; Arthropoda; Insecta; Blattodea; Termitidae. The record is from RNAcentral.
AUCUAAAUAGUUUAAGAGGAAAAUUUCGGUUUGUGGUGCCGACGAUAUAUUUAUAUAUUUUAGAUU